CCGGCGCACGGGUGAGUAACGCGUAUGCAACUUGCCUAUCAGAGGGGGGUAACCCGGCGAAAGUCGGACUAAUACCGCAUGAAGCAGGGAUCCCGCAUGGGAAUAUUUGCUAAAGAUUCAUCGCUGAUAGAUAGGCAUGCGUUCCAUUAGGCAGUUGGCGGGGUAACGGCCCACCAAACCGACGAUGGAUAGGGGUUCUGAGAGGAAGGUCCCCCACAUUGGUACUGAGACGCGGACCAA
Molecule: ribosomal RNA, 240 nt
Filed under: uncultured bacterium
Lineage: Bacteria
Description: partial 16S ribosomal RNA
Rfam family: Bacterial small subunit ribosomal RNA
Source: RNAcentral